AAACUUUCAACAACGGAUCUCUUGGCUCUGGCAUCGAUGAAAGAACGCAGCGAAACGCGAUAAGUAAUGUGAAUUGCAGAAUCCAGUGAAUCAUCGAAUCUUUGAACGCACAUUGCGCCCGCCAGCAUUCUGGCGGGCAUGCCUGUUCGAGCGUCAUUU
RNAcentral lists this ribosomal RNA (159 nucleotides) under Beauveria bassiana. Its description in RNAcentral is "5.8S ribosomal RNA". It matches the Rfam family "5.8S ribosomal RNA". From Rfam's summary of the family: 5.8S ribosomal RNA (5.8S rRNA) is a component of the large subunit of the eukaryotic ribosome. It is transcribed by RNA polymerase I as part of the 45S precursor that also contains 18S and 28S rRNA. Lineage: Eukaryota; Fungi; Ascomycota; Sordariomycetes; Hypocreales; Cordycipitaceae. The record is from RNAcentral.